GUUUUCAUUGGUUACACUCAGCGGGACUUUCUCAAGGGAAAAGGCUUAUCUCUUCCUGUGUUUAGCAGAAUGGUAGCAACUGAAGAACACAUUUAAAAUGGCUUGGCUAUUUGGUGCAGCAGCACUAGGAGGUAAAGCAGGGUUGGGUGCAGUUUUAGGCCCUGUUGGUCUUUGUGUUGGUGGGCUUGCACUUGUGGGGCAUGCAGUUUAUCUCGCAGGCAGACACCGGAGAGGGGGUGGAGGGCCACCGAAGAAAUCAAUCACACAGAAGCAGCAGGAUGGAGACAUGGAUUCAUCUGAGGUGGCUGAUCAUUUGAACCUUGGAGCUACGGACACAUACGGAAAUAUCUUACGUUAUGGAAGACCCUUUGUUUCUGGUGAAGAUGGGGAUAAAUACUACGUUGAAGCUGAUCAUAUCCCACCGCUGCAGUCCUUCCGUAUGGCUCGAAGGCUGCCCGCGUUUAGCUCUCUCAGACGCAUUAAUCCAAGACUUCAUGAAUUGGUGAUGAGCCUGGAAAAUGAUACAAGAGGAUUGAACCUACUCACUGUGCAGGUCUCCACCCAUCAUCACCGGGAUGCUCUGUCUUCUGGUUCAAGUAAUGUAUCUAGACAGUGCAGGGAACUAAUUGCACACAGAAUGGCAGAUGGAGACGUAACGAAAAUGCUGAAGCAGGCUUUUAUCAUCGCUCACCCUUACGCUUCCCAGCAAAUAAGAGAUGAAGCAGGACUUGGCAACAAACCCCGCCCCAAAAAAAUCUUUCUGUCAAAAGACAGAACCAUGAACAUUUACAGAGCUGCCUUCCUUGAACUGAUACGUAAAUACCAUGCGAUGGGGAUCAUUGGUGAUGAAGAUCGUAAUGAACUGAUUCAAUAUGUGCAGCACGACAUGUAUCUCGACAGCGAAUCUGAGCUGUAUCAACAAAUUGUUCGAAUUGUUAGGCAGUUUGGUGGACAUAAUCACUAGAGGUUGUCCACAGGCCAAGCUGAGUUCAUGAGUAUGCCACCAUUCACCUUUUCACGUUUGCAAAAAAAUAUAUAUUUCCACAGUCUUUAACAUAUGUACUUUUAAAUAACUUGUAUGUUUGUAUGUAUGUUCUUACUUUGAGUGCUUUAAUCUUGUUCUACACUUAAAAUGUACUCUUUACAAAAGUUCUGUAUCUCUGUUCUGUUAUAGAAGGCUAAUCGGAUAUAUCCUCUUGAGACUCGGCAGAAAAAAAUAGUUGAAAGUAUUAAUAUUUUUUGACAACAAAAAAAAAUGUAUCGGAUGACAAAAACAUGUUGCAUGAAAAUAUUUUCAAAAAUAUUGCAUCAUUUUUUAAAAUUCAUUGAAUGUGUAUGUUUCAUUGGAGUAGAAUAUAUGGUUCUUGAUAUUGAGACCAGAGAGCCAUUUUGUCAGGGGGAUAUGAUGUAAGUCACUUUUGUGAUAAUGCAUUGUUUCCUGACUGACCAGUUUACCAGUUUGUCGUGAUUAGGCGUAGGCAUGACUUUGAGCCAGGGCCAUGUGGAAGUGACUGUUUGCUGGAAUGGUUAAAGGCACAAGAGAACGGAGCCCGCCAAAUGAAGUCGACGGGUAAGACAAAGCUGUGGACAACGUAACCUGCCGUGUUGAAGAUGAGAUGACAUGACACGUGGAUGACAUGACACGUGGAUGACACAACGAGGGAAACAACGAGGGAGUGGCUCGUAGAAAAGUGUCUUGAGAAGAUAUAAAAGGCCGAGAGUUUUUAGCGUACAAAAACAAAGCGAAAGAUUUGAAGGCCGAAGAAGAGAGCAGGAAGACAGGCAGACAGGAAGACGGGCGCCAUUGAGCGGGAGAAAAGCAGCAGAGAGAGGAAGUGCAUGAGAAGUCCCAGUGAUACAGAUUAGAUGCAGUUUUUGGAGAAGCAAUUUCUGAGGAACUUAAAUUUUUGGAAGACCAACUCAAGCCUGUUAUCUGAUUAGCAACAUUUAUCUUUUGUGAGGCCACAGGAUAGUGAGAAACAAAGGUUUUAAAAAAUAUAUUUUUUUAAUUUUGUUUUUAUUCUUGCCUUGAAAUUAUAAGAUGCAUAGCAAGCUGCUUGGCUGAAGGUUCUGAAAUGAUAUGACUCACAAUAACAUGCUUGGCUGAAGAUUUUUUCUGAAUAUAUAAGAUUAAAAUUAUCCAUGUUUAGUUAAAACUUAGCUUAGGAAAGUGGUUUAUAUCACCUGUGGAAGCUGUAACUUGCAGAUUACCUACAGAGCUGUGAAUGUGUGGUUAUUGUACUCAAAUAAAAAUGUACUCAUAUUUAUAAUCAA
This is a long non-coding RNA of Anguilla anguilla (European eel), 2274 nucleotides long. RefSeq lists it as uncharacterized. The transcript is spliced from 4 exons. The record is from RefSeq and is a predicted model, not a curated record. Lineage: Eukaryota; Metazoa; Chordata; Actinopteri; Anguilliformes; Anguillidae.